CACCAGAGAGAAAAGAGCUCUCCGGCGGCUGAGAUCCGCCGGGGAAAUUCCCUCCCGGAGGGGGAAAUCGACGCCAUCGUCACCGUCAUCGAGCUGGACAUCAUCUCCAUCACCAUCACCAUCACCUCCACCAUCAUCACCGCCGUCUCCACCGCUGCACAUCGUCACCGCCGUAGCAAUUUGGGUUUGAUCUUGAUUGUUUGAUAGGGGAAACUCUCCCGGUAUUGAUUUCUACUUGUUGUUGAUGCUAUUGAGUGAAACCGUUGAACCAAGGUUUAUGUUCAGAUUGUUAUUCAUCAUCAUAUCACCUCUGAUCAUGUUCCAUAUGAUGUCUCGUGAGUAGUUCGUUUAGUUCUUGAGGACAUGGGUGAAGUCUAAAUGUUAGUAGUGAACCAUGGUUGAGUAA
Non-coding RNA from Lolium perenne, 406 nucleotides. NCBI's taxonomy places the organism in Eukaryota, Viridiplantae, Streptophyta, Magnoliopsida, Poales, Poaceae. The record is from RefSeq and is a predicted model, not a curated record.